This 610-nucleotide long non-coding RNA is filed under the name Lupinus mutabilis. Its description in RNAcentral is "partial ncRNA". The record is from RNAcentral. Lineage: Eukaryota; Viridiplantae; Streptophyta; Magnoliopsida; Fabales; Fabaceae.
CAACAUGUACUGUACAGAAUAGCAUCCGAAGAGUGGCUUUCUUGCCAACGUAUAUGGACUUGUUCUCACAUGGUUAUGUCUUUGGCAUGUGUUACACUAUAACCACACGGCACUGACACUCUUUCAAGUUUAAGCUUCAACCAAAAAGUUCCAGAGAAAGUCUUUCAGCAUGGAAGGUAAAAAGUGAAACUUCAUGUCUACAAGAUUAGAAGAGAAGCUUGAACCCUCACAAAUGGAAGCAUCUAGAGAUUCUAAACAAGCAGAAGAAGAAUUUGAAAAGCUAAAGAUGACUCAAGAAGAAGAAGAAGAAGAAGAAGAGGUUGUUGAAGAGUGCAAAACACCAACGAGGUUAAUGAACAAGAUUACUAGCAUUCAAACAUUCCCACCUACCCCAAGAAAGAAAAGAAAGUUUUCUUUACUCAUGAAAAGAUCAUCAGCAUCUAAUCUUAGCUUAUUCGUGAGGGAUGAGGAGGUAGAACCUUUCUUUCAAUCCAUGUUUGAGCUUGCUAGGGUUCACAAGAGAUGUAGAAGCAUGUGAAUGUCCAUGUUUAACAUUCAAAUAAAUUAAUCAUCCUAUUUUCUUCGUAUUUCAAACAAACAGUAGUAGUUU